AAAUAGAUACCCGGGGUAGUCCACGCCGUAAACGGUGGGCACUAGGUGUGGGCAGCAUUCCACGUUGUCCGUGCCGUAGCUAACGCAUUAAGUGCCCCGCCUGGGGAGUACGGCCGCAAGGCUAAAACUCAAAGGAAUUGACGGGGGCCCACACAAGCGGCGGAGCAUGUGGCUUAAUUCGACGCAACGCGAAGAACCUUACCAAGGCUUGACAUACACCGGAAACAUCCAGAGAUGGGUGCCCCCUUGUGGUCGGUGUACAGGUGGUGCAUGGCUGUCGUCAGCUCGUGUCGUGAGAUGUUGGGUUAAGUCCCGCAACGAGCGCAACCCUUGUCCCGUGUUGCCAGCAGGCCCUUGUGGUGCUGGGGACUCACGGGAGACCGCCGGGGUCAACUCGGAGGAAGGUGGGGACAACGUCAAGUCAUCAUGCCCCUUAUGUCUUGGGCUGCACACGUGCUACAAUGGCCGGUACAAAGAGCUGCGAUACCGUGAGGUGGAGCGAAUCUCAAAAAGCCGGUCUCAGUUCGGAUUGGGGUCUGCAACUCCG
Molecule: ribosomal RNA, 547 nt
Filed under: uncultured bacterium
Lineage: Bacteria
Description: bacterial SSU rRNA
Rfam family: Bacterial small subunit ribosomal RNA
Source: RNAcentral